AGAGUUUGAUCAUGGCUCAGGAUGAACGCUGGCGGCGUGCCUAACACAUGCAAGUCGAACGUGAAGCCAUAAAUGAUUACUUCGGUUUGAUUUUUUGGUGGAAAGUGGCGAACGGGUGAGUAACACGUGGGUAAUCUGCCUCGAAGUGGGGGAUAACUAUUGGAAACGAUAGCUAAUACCGCAUAGUCUUUUUUACAUGGGAAUGUAGAAGAGUAAAGCUCCGGCGCUUCGAGAGGAGCCUGCGUCCAAUUAGCUAGUUGGUGGGGUAAAGGCCCACCAAGGCGACGAUUGGUAGCUGGUCUGAGAGGACGAUCAGUCACACGGGAACUGAGACACGGUCCCGACUCCUACGGGGGGCAGCAGUGAGGAAUAUUGCACAAUGGGGGAAACCCUGAUGCAGCAACGCCGCGUGGAGGAUGAAGGCUUCGGUCGUAAACUCCUUUUCUGGGGGAAGAGAACGGACGGUACCCCAGGAAUAAGUCACGGCUAACUACGUGCCAGCAGCCGCGGUAAUACGUAGGUGGCGAGCGUUAUCCGGAAUUACUGGGCGUAAAGCGCGCGCAGGCGGUUAAAUAAGUUUGGCGUGAAAGCUCCCGGCUUAACUGGGAGAGGUCGUUGAAAACUGUUUAACUUGAGGCAAUGAGAGGGGUACGGAAUUCCAGGUGUAGUGGUGGAAUGCGUAGAUAUCUGGAGGAACACCAGUGGCGAAAGCGGUACCCUGGCAUUGACCUGACGCUCAUGUGCGAAAGCGUGGGGAGCGAACGGGAUUAGAUACCCUGGUAGU
RNAcentral lists this ribosomal RNA (784 nucleotides) under uncultured bacterium. RNAcentral's name for it is "bacterial SSU rRNA". It matches the Rfam family "Bacterial small subunit ribosomal RNA", at positions 8 to 794 of the family's 1533-position model. The record is from RNAcentral.